This 501-nucleotide ribosomal RNA is filed under the name uncultured bacterium. RNAcentral's name for it is "partial 16S ribosomal RNA". It matches the Rfam family "Bacterial small subunit ribosomal RNA", at positions 29 to 507 of the family's 1533-position model. The record is from RNAcentral.
GCGAACGCUGGCGGCGUGCCUAACACAUGCAAGUCGCACGUGAAAGGGAGCAAUCCCAAGUAAAGUGGCGUACGGGUGAGUAACACGUAGGUAAUCUACCCCAGAAUCUGGAAUAACCGGCCGAAAGGCUGGCUAAUACUGGAUAGAGCGACGGAAUCCGUAAUUGGGUUUUUCGGGAAAGGGAGCCUGUAAAAAGGCCUUCGUUCUGGGAUGAGCCUGCGUCCCAUCAGCUAGUUGGUGAGGUAAAAGCUUACCAAGGCAAUGACGGGUAGCUGGUCUGAGAGGACGAUCAGCCACACUGGAACUGAAACACGGUCCAGACUCCUACGGGAGGCAGCAGUGGGGAAUCUUGCGCAAUGGACGAAAGUCUGACGCAGCAACGCCGCGGGAGUGAAGAAGGCCUUCGGGUUGUAAAGCUCUGUCGAGUGGGACGAAAAUGCUUGGAGUUCACAGCUCCAGGAACUGACGGUACCACUAAAGGAAGCACCGGCUAACUCCGUG